CAUCUCUGAGUGCCUGCACGUAUGCUUGCGUGCACGUUCUUGCCCACCCUCUAUGGAGCAGCUGACGCCCUCAUUUUCGCUGAGGAAGAUGAUUAUCAUCUCUGGAAGACGAGGACACAGCCACUGCCAAGGCAUGCGCGCGUGUGCGCGGGGGCUUGAGCACAGGGAGGAGGUAUGAAGGGUUGAGUGGGGGCAGCUGCGCGAAGCGACGGCCUCUUCUUUCUCGCUCAGCUACCUCUCCCCUUCCCCUUCCUAUGCCUGCCGAAUGCCGAACUCGCCUCUGGUGUGUGACAGGGUCAGGUGUCUGUGACGUAGGCGGAGGUCCGCGCGAUGCAUCGCUGCUGAUGUCGGCGGUGAGGGCCUGGAUGGCGUUGCGUCGGGGCGACCUGCGACCGUGCACACGCCUGCACACUGUCUAUGUGAUGGGCGAAGUGCCAGCGUGGCUCGAACGCACCCCGCACGGCCCUCACACUGACCACUGGUGGGGGGCAGCCUGAGCGCCACGCCGAGGGGGAUGCACCAGGGGUGGCGACCGGCACAAUGGGGGAGCGGCUGCGAGGCGACCUGCUCAGCGGGCAUGUGGGCUGGGCUCGAGGCAGAGGCGGUGCUGAGACGACUGGGUCGGCGCAUUGCUGCCGUGCGCGCGUGCGCCCAGGGCUGCUUGGCACCAGGCGGAUGGGGCACCUGUGGCAGGGGUCUGUGGUGGUGCGCGGUGGGCGGAGCGGCAUGGCGUGACGUUCGAGCUCGCGUUGCAUGGCGGAGAGUGAGCAUGCUGGAGGAAACGUGUAUGUCGCUCUCUGGCAGGCAAUGGGCACAUCGUCUCAGCACUCCUCCCCAUACUUCCCUGUUGGUGUCUCUUAUUCUCUUCAGAAUUGUGUUGCCUUCUCC
Molecule: unclassified non-coding RNA, 888 nt
Filed under: Leishmania donovani
Lineage: Eukaryota; Euglenozoa; Kinetoplastea; Trypanosomatida; Trypanosomatidae
Description: gene:unknown
Source: RNAcentral